Molecule: ribosomal RNA, 497 nt
Filed under: uncultured bacterium
Lineage: Bacteria
Description: partial 16S ribosomal RNA
Rfam family: Bacterial small subunit ribosomal RNA
Source: RNAcentral
GAUGAACGCUGGCGGCGUGCCUAAUACAUGCAAGUCGAGCGAACGGACGAGAAGCUUGCUUCUCUGAUGUUAGCGGCGGACGGGUGAGUAACACGUGGAUAACCUACCUAUAAGACUGGGAUAACUUCGGGAAACCGGAGCUAAUACCGGAUAAUAUUUUGAACCGCAUGGUUCAAAAGUGAAAGACGCUCUUGCUGCCACUUAUAGAUGGAUCCGCUCUGCAUUAGCUAGUUGGUAAGGUAACGGCUUACCAAGGCAACGAUGCAUAGCCGACCUGAGAGGGUGAUCGGCCACACUGGAACUGAGACACGGUCCAGACUCCUACGGGAGGCAGCAGUAGGGAAUCUUCGGCAAUGGGCGAAAGCCUGACGGAGCAACGCCGCGUGAGUGAUGAAGGUCUUCGGUUCGUAAAACUCUGUUAUUAGGGAAGAACAUAUGUGUAAGUAACUGUGCACAUAUUGACGGUACCUAAUCAGAAAGCCACGGCUAACUACGUG